CCUACGGGGGGCUGCAGUGGGGAAUAUUGGACAAUGGGGGCAGCCCUGAUCCAGCCAUGCCGCGUGUGUGAAGAAGGCCCUCGGGUUGUAAAGCACUUUCAGUGAGGAAGAACGCCUGGUGGUUAAUACCCAUCAGGAAAGACAUCACUCACAGAAGAAGCACCGGCUAACUCCGUGCCAGCAGCCGCGGUAAUACGGAGGGUGCGAGCGUUAAUCGGAAUUACUGGGCGUAAAGCGCGCGUAGGUGGCUUGAUAAGCCGGUUGUGAAAGCCCCGGGCUCAACCUGGGAACGGCAUCCGGAACUGUCAAGCUAGAGUGCAGGAGAGGAAGGUAGAAUUCCCGGUGUAGCGGUGAAAUGCGUAGAGAUCGGGAGGAAUACCAGUGGCGAAGGCGGCCUUCUGGACUGACACUGACACUGAGGUGCGAAAGCGUGGGUAGCAAACAGGAUUAGAUACCCUUGUAGUC
This 465-nucleotide ribosomal RNA is filed under the name Vreelandella stevensii. Its description in RNAcentral is "partial 16S ribosomal RNA". It matches the Rfam family "Bacterial small subunit ribosomal RNA", at positions 338 to 795 of the family's 1533-position model. The record is from RNAcentral. Lineage: Bacteria; Pseudomonadati; Pseudomonadota; Gammaproteobacteria; Oceanospirillales; Halomonadaceae.